This 602-nucleotide ribosomal RNA is filed under the name Aspergillus flavus. RNAcentral's name for it is "eukaryotic LSU rRNA". The stretch from base 216 to 369 matches the Rfam family "5.8S ribosomal RNA". Lineage: Eukaryota; Fungi; Ascomycota; Eurotiomycetes; Eurotiales; Aspergillaceae. The record is from RNAcentral.
CUUCCGUAGGGUGAACCUGCGGAAGGAUCAUUACCGAGUGUAGGGUUCCUAGCGAGCCCAACCUCCCACCCGUGUUUACUGUACCUUAGUUGCUUCGGCGGGCCCGCCAUUCAUGGCCGCCGGGGGCUCUCAGCCCCGGGCCCGCGCCCGCCGGAGACACCACGAACUCUGUCUGAUCUAGUGAAGUCUGAGUUGAUUGUAUCGCAAUCAGUUAAAACUUUCAACAAUGGAUCUCUUGGUUCCGGCAUCGAUGAAGAACGCAGCGAAAUGCGAUAACUAGUGUGAAUUGCAGAAUUCCGUGAAUCAUCGAGUCUUUGAACGCACAUUGCGCCCCCUGGUAUUCCGGGGGGCAUGCCUGUCCGAGCGUCAUUGCUGCCCAUCAAGCACGGCUUGUGUGUUGGGUCGUCGUCCCCUCUCCGGGGGGGACGGGCCCCAAAGGCAGCGGCGGCACCGCGUCCGAUCCUCGAGCGUAUGGGGCUUUGUCACCCGCUCUGUAGGCCCGGCCGGCGCUUGCCGAACGCAAAUCAAUCUUUUUCCAGGUUGACCUCGGAUCAGGUAGGGAUACCCGCUGAACUUAAGCAUAUCAAUAAGCGGAGAAAACA